This 248-nucleotide non-coding RNA is filed under the name Solanum tuberosum (potato). RNAcentral describes it as "Bacterial small subunit ribosomal RNA". It matches the Rfam family "Bacterial small subunit ribosomal RNA", at positions 945 to 1179 of the family's 1533-position model. Lineage: Eukaryota; Viridiplantae; Streptophyta; Magnoliopsida; Solanales; Solanaceae. The record is from Rfam by way of RNAcentral.
UUUAGUUCGAUACAAUGCGUCAAACCUUACAAGCCCUUGACAUAUGAACAAGUAAACCCGUCCUUAACGGGAUGGUACUUACUUUCAUACAGGUGCUUCAUGGCUGUCGUCAGCUCAUGUCGUGAGAUGUUUGGUCAAGUCCUAUAACGUUCGAAACCCUUAUUUUGUGUUGCUGAGACAUGCCCCUAAGGAGAAAGUCUUUGCAACCGAAGUGAGCCAUGUCGAACUAGAAUGCCCUUAAUUGAGGA